CACGUAGGGUGCGAGCGUUGUCCGGAAUUACUGGGCGUAAAGCGCGUGUAGGCGGCCCAGCAAGUCGGAUGUGAAAGCCCUGGGCUUAACCUAGGAAGUGCAUUCGAAACUGCUGGGCUUGAGUUCUGGAGAGGAAGGCGGAAUUCUCGGUGUAGAGGUGAAAUUCGUAGAUAUCGAGAGGAACACCGGUGGCGAAGGCGGCCUUCUGGACAGUGACUGACGCUGAGACGCGAAAGCGUGGGGAGCAAACAGG
RNAcentral lists this ribosomal RNA (253 nucleotides) under uncultured bacterium. RNAcentral describes it as "partial 16S ribosomal RNA". It matches the Rfam family "Bacterial small subunit ribosomal RNA", at positions 524 to 776 of the family's 1533-position model. The record is from RNAcentral.